Molecule: ribosomal RNA, 301 nt
Filed under: uncultured bacterium
Lineage: Bacteria
Description: partial 16S ribosomal RNA
Rfam family: Bacterial small subunit ribosomal RNA
Source: RNAcentral
CAGCCGCCACGGUAAUACGGAGGGUGCAAGCGUUACUCGGAAUUACUGGGCGUAAAGCGUGCGUAGGUGGUGGUUUAAGUCCGUUGUGAAAGCCCUGGGCUCAACCUGGGAAUUGCAGUGGAUACUGGGUCACUAGAGUGUGGUAGAGGAUAGUGGAAUUUCCGGUGUAGCAGUGAAAUGCGUAGAGAUCGGAAGGAACAUCUGUGGCGAAGGCGACUAUCUGGGCCAACACUGACACUGAGGCACGAAAGCGUGGGGAGCAAACAGGAUUAGAUACCCCAGUAGUCCCUGUCUCUUAUAC